GCAGACAAGAAACAUGUAACAUCGCUACUACGUUAUGUUAAUAGUAUUUUACAUAUAUCAAUUUCUCAUGGAUGAGAAAGUGUGACAAAACCUGAAAUUUUUUUACAAGCAAGUACCAGAAGAAACAGGAAGAAGAAGAUGGCUGUGGCAGCUUUACAUAAUACCUGGCUCCAUCCACACCCACCACCUUAAGCUAACCAGAUCCGACCAAAGCCCAACGAUAUCAACUCACGGCGCCGGCGGCCGCACGUGACUACGGAUCCGUCAGUAGAAAUGAUGGAAAUCUUUAGAGGUUUAGAUCCACUCCGUCCGAAUCCCAUCGGACGGCUCCAGCGGACCUACCAGCACUGGUCGGUCUCCCAGGUCCGGCGGCCGUAGCUGGGGAAGGACGGGGAGCGGGAGAAAGGCCGGAAGGAGGAGGAGGAAGGCGUCGGUGGUGAAGAGUGGCGGACGGUCCGGCGGUGGCGGCCGAGGAGGAGGAGCUUGCGGUCGUAGUCAGCGCGCUUGUCGGGAUCGGACAGGGUGGAGUAGGCGGCGUGAAUCCGGAUGAACUCGUCGGCCGAGGUGCCCUUCCGGUCGGUGGCCACCACGUCCCGCCUUAAGCUAACUAGAUCCGACCAAAGCCCAACGAUAUCAACUCACGGCGCCGGCGGCCGCAAGUGACUACGGAUCCGUCAGUAGAAAUGAUGGAAAUCUUUAGAGGUUUAGAUCCACUCCGUCCGAAUCCCAUCGGACGGCUCCAGCGAUACUGGAUCCCGCUCGGCGGACCUACCAGCACUGGUCGGUCUCCCAGGUCCGGCGGCCGUAGCUGGGGAAGGACGGGGAGCGGGAGAAAGGCCGGAAGGAGGAGGAGGAGGAAGGCGUCGGUGGUGAAGAGUGGCGGACGGUCCGGCGGUGGCGGCCGAGGAGGAGGAGCUUGCGGUCGUAGUCAGCGCGCUUCUCGGGAUCGGACAGGGUGGAGUAGGCGGCGUGAAUCCGGAUGAACUCGUCGGCCGAGGUGCCCUUCCGGUCGGUGGCCACCACGUCAGGGUGGCGUGCGAGCGCCAGCCGACGAUACGCGGCCUUGAUCUCCUGGCCGGUAGCGCCUGAGGGGAGGCCGAGUACGUCGUAGAGCGAGGCGAAGGAUGAUUGCAAAGCCGGGGGUAGGGCGGCGGCCGUGGGCUGGCGCUCCGCCGCGGCCGUGUACGCGGCGGAGAUGCCCGGCGAGCGGAGGGAGGUGGCGGAGCGAGGGGAGGAAGGCGCGACGGAGCGAGGGGUAGAGGGGGUGAUCCGAAGGCCGAGGAACUGGGAGGACG
RNAcentral lists this long non-coding RNA (1295 nucleotides) under Phoenix dactylifera (date palm). RNAcentral describes it as "long non-coding RNA (PDAC_LNC000557)". Lineage: Eukaryota; Viridiplantae; Streptophyta; Magnoliopsida; Arecales; Arecaceae. The record is from RNAcentral.